Molecule: ribosomal RNA, 468 nt
Filed under: uncultured bacterium
Lineage: Bacteria
Description: partial 16S ribosomal RNA
Rfam family: Bacterial small subunit ribosomal RNA
Source: RNAcentral
GACGAACGCUGGCGGCGUGCUUAACACAUGCAAGUCGAACGGAAAGGCCCUGCUUUUGUGGGGUGCUCGAGUGGCGAACGGGUGAGUAACACGUGAGUAACCUGCCCUUGACUUUGGGAUAACUUCAGGAAACUGGGGCUAAUACCGGUUAGGAGCUCCUGCUGCAUGGUGGGGGUUGGAAAGUUUCGGCGGUUGGGGAUGGACUCGCGGCUUAUCAGCUUGUUGGUGGGGUAGUGGCUUACCAAGGGUUUGACGGGUAGCCGGCCUGAGAGGGUGACCGGCCACAUUGGGACUGAGAGACGGCCCAGACUCCUACGGGAGGCAGCAGUGGGGAAUAUUGCACAAUGGGCGGAAGCCUGAUGCAGCAACGCCGCGUGCGGGAUGACGGCCUUCGGGUUGUAAACCGCUUUCGCCUGUGACGAAGCGUGAGUGACGGUAAUGGGUAAAGAAGCACCGGCUAACUACGUG